ACGGAGGGUGCAAGCGUUAAUCGGAAUUACUGGGCGUAAAGCGUGCGUAGGCGGUUCGUUAAGUCUGCUGUGAAAGCCCCGGGCUCAACCUGGGAAUGGCAGUGGAUACUGGCGAGCUAGAGUGUGAUAGAGGAUGGUGGAAUUCCCGGUGUAGCGGUGAAAUGCGUAGAGAUCGGGAGGAACAUCAGUGGCGAAGGCGGCCAUCUGGAUCAACACUGACGCUGAGGCACGAAAGCGUGGGGAGCAAACAG
This 251-nucleotide ribosomal RNA is filed under the name uncultured prokaryote. RNAcentral describes it as "partial 16S rRNA". It matches the Rfam family "Bacterial small subunit ribosomal RNA", at positions 525 to 775 of the family's 1533-position model. The record is from RNAcentral.